Molecule: transfer RNA, 72 nt
Filed under: Arctocephalus forsteri (New Zealand fur seal)
Lineage: Eukaryota; Metazoa; Chordata; Mammalia; Carnivora; Otariidae
Description: tRNA-Glu
Rfam family: tRNA
About the family: Transfer RNA (tRNA) molecules are approximately 80 nucleotides in length. Their secondary structure includes four short double-helical elements and three loops (D, anti-codon, and T loops).
Source: RNAcentral
AGGGUUCUCAUAGUUGAAUAACACCGAUGAUUUUUCAUGUCAUUGGUCUUGGUUAGAUUCCAUGUGGGAAUA